AGAACGAACGCUGGCGGCAUGCCUAAUACAUGCAAGUCGAACGAACUCUUCGGAGUUAGUGGCGCACGGGUGCGUAACGCGUGGGAAUCUGCCCCUUGGUUCGGAAUAACAGUUGGAAACGACUGCUAAUACCGGAUGAUGACGAAAGUCCAAAGAUUUAUCGCCAAGGGAUGAGCCCGCGUAGGAUUAGCUAGUUGGUGAGGUAAAGGCUCACCAAGGCAACGAUCCUUAGCUGGUCUGAGAGGAUGAUCAGCCACACUGGGACUGAGACACGGCCCAGACCUCCGACGGGAGCAGCAGUAGGGAAUAGUAGGACAAGUGGGACGAAAGCCUGAUCCAGCAAUCGCCGCGUGAGUGAUGGAAGUCCGUUAGGUUAGUAAGUCUUACGUUUACCGAGAUAGAUAAUGACUAGUACGUAGGAAGUAACGUAACCGUACCCGGACCUAAACCGUUCCGUACG
Molecule: ribosomal RNA, 460 nt
Filed under: uncultured soil bacterium
Lineage: Bacteria
Description: bacterial SSU rRNA
Rfam family: Bacterial small subunit ribosomal RNA
Source: RNAcentral